This 77-nucleotide transfer RNA is filed under the name Luteimonas sp. Its description in RNAcentral is "tRNA-Arg". It matches the Rfam family "tRNA". Rfam says of the family: Transfer RNA (tRNA) molecules are approximately 80 nucleotides in length. Lineage: Bacteria; Pseudomonadati; Pseudomonadota; Gammaproteobacteria; Lysobacterales; Lysobacteraceae. RNAcentral also lists the same sequence under 10 other names. The record is from RNAcentral.
GCCCCCGUAGCUCAGCUGGAUAGAGCGUUCCCCUCCUAAGGGAAAGGUCGUGCGUUCGAAUCGCGCCGGGGGCGCCA